Molecule: ribosomal RNA, 553 nt
Filed under: uncultured bacterium
Lineage: Bacteria
Description: partial 16S ribosomal RNA
Rfam family: Bacterial small subunit ribosomal RNA
Source: RNAcentral
UGGGGAAUAUUGCACAAUGGGCGAAAGCCUGAUGCAGCAACGCCGCGUGAGUGAUGAAGGUCUUCGGAUUGUAAAGCUCUGUCUUUUGGGACGAUAAUGACGGUACCAAAGGAGGAAGCCACGGCUAACUACGUGCCAGCAGCCGCGGUAAUACGUAGGUGGCGAGCGUUGUCCGGAUUUACUGGGCGUAAAGGGUGCGUAGGCGGAUGUUUAAGUGAGAUGUGAAAUACCCGGGCUUAACUUGGGUGCUGCAUUUCAAACUGGAUAUCUAGAGUGCAGGAGAGGAGAAUGGAAUUCCUAGUGUAGCGGUGAAAUGCGUAGAGAUUAGGAAGAACACCAGUGGCGAAGGCGAUUCUCUGGACUGUAACUGACGCUGAGGCACGAAAGCGUGGGUAGCAAACAGGAUUAGAUACCCUGGUAGUCCACGCCGUAAACGAUGAGUACUAGGUGUAGGAGGUAUCGACCCCUUCUGUGCCGCAGUAAACACAUUAAGUACUCCGCCUGGGAAGUACCGAUCGCAAGAUUAAAACUCUAAAGUGAAUUGACGGGGGUC